CCAGACUCCUACGGGAGGCAGCAGUGGGGAAUAUUGCACAAUGGGGGAAACCCUGAUGCAGCGACGCCGCGUGAGUGAAGAAGUAUUUCGGUAUGUAAAGCUCUAUCAGCAGGGAAGAAGAAAGACGGUACCUGACUAAGAAGCCCCGGCUAACUACGUGCCAGCAGCCGCGGUAAUACGUAGGGGGCAAGCGUUAUCCGGAUUUACUGGGUGUAAAGGGAGCGUAGACGGGCCAGCAAGUCUGAUGUGAAAACCCGGGGCCCAACCCCGGGAGUGCAUUGGAAACUGCGGGCCUGGAGUGCCGGAGAGGUAAGCGGAAUUCCUAGUGUAGCGGUGAAAUGCGUAGAUAUUAGGAGGAACACCAGUGGCGAAGGCGGCUUACUGGACGGUAACUGACGUUGAGGCUCGAAAGCGUGGGGAGCAAACAGGAUUAGAUACCCUAGUACU
This 447-nucleotide ribosomal RNA is filed under the name uncultured bacterium. RNAcentral's name for it is "bacterial SSU rRNA". It matches the Rfam family "Bacterial small subunit ribosomal RNA", at positions 331 to 794 of the family's 1533-position model. The record is from RNAcentral.